GGGGGAUAUUGGACAAUGGGGGCAACCCUGAUCCAGCGACGCCGCGUGAGGGAAGAAGGUUUUAGGAUUGUAAACCUCUGUCUUCAGGGACGAAAAAAGGACGGUACCUGAGGAGGAAGCUCCGGCUAACUACGUGCCAGCAGCCGCGGUAAUACGUAGGGAGCGAGCGUUGUCCGGAAUUACUGGGUGUAAAGGGAGCGUAGGCGGGAUCGCAAGUCAGAUGUGAAAACUAUGGGCUUAACCCAUAAACUGCAUUUGAAACUGUGGUUCUUGAGUGAAGUAGAGGUAAGCGGAAUUCCUAGUGUAGCGGUGAAAUGCGUAGAUAUUAGGAGGAACAUCAGUGGCGAAGGCGGCUUACUGGGCUUUAACUGACGCUGAGGCUCGAAAGCGUGGGGAGCAAACAGGAUUAGAUACCCUGGUAGUCCACGCCGUAAACGAUGAUUACUAGGUGUGGGGGGACUGACCCCUUCCGUGCCGCAGCAAACGCAAUAAGUAAUCCACCUGGGGAGUACGACCGCAAGGUUGAAACUCAAAGGAAUUGACGGGGGCCCGCACAAGCAGUGGAGUAUGUGGAUUAAUUCGAAGCAACGCGAAGAACCUUACCAGGUCUUGACAUCGUAUGCAUAGCUCAGAGAUGAGUGAAAUCUCUUCGGAGACAUAUAGACAGGUGGUGCAUGGUUGUCGUCAGCUCGUGUCGUGAGAUGUUGGGUUAAGUCCCGCAACGAGCGCAACCCUUACUGUUAGUUGCUACGCAAGAGCACUCUAGCAGGACUGCCGUUGACAAAACGGAGGAAGGUGGGGAUGACGUCAAAUCAUCAUGCCCCUUAUGACCUGGGCCUCACACGUACUACAAUGGCUGUAAACAGAGGGAAGCAAAGCCGCGAGGUAGAGCGAACCCCUAAAAGCAGUCUUAGUUCGGAUUGUAGGCUGCAACCCGCCUACAUGAAGUCGGAAUUGCUAGUAAUCGCAGAUCAGCAUGCUGCGGUGAAUACGUUCCCG
This 999-nucleotide ribosomal RNA is filed under the name uncultured organism. RNAcentral describes it as "bacterial SSU rRNA". It matches the Rfam family "Bacterial small subunit ribosomal RNA", at positions 356 to 1376 of the family's 1533-position model. The record is from RNAcentral.